RNAcentral lists this ribosomal RNA (491 nucleotides) under uncultured bacterium. RNAcentral's name for it is "partial 16S ribosomal RNA". It matches the Rfam family "Bacterial small subunit ribosomal RNA", at positions 28 to 507 of the family's 1533-position model. The record is from RNAcentral.
GAUGAACGCUGGCUACAGGCUUAACACAUGCAAGUCGAGGGGAAACGACGGGGAAGCUUGCUUCCCCGGGCGUCGACCGGCGCACGGGUGAGUAACGCGUAUCCAACCUGCCUCUGACUGAGGGAUAACCCGUCGAAAGUCGGCCUAAUACCUCAUGGCAUCGUCUGCGGGCAUCCAACGACGAUUAAAGAUUUCAUCGGUCAGAGAUGGGGAUGCGUCUGAUUAGCUUGUUGGCGGGGUAACGGCCCACCAAGGCGACGAUCAGUAGGGGUUCUGAGAGGAAGGUCCCCCACAUUGGGACUGAGACACGGUCCAAACUCCUACGGGAGGCAGCAGUGAGGAAUAUUGGUGAAUGGGCGAGAGCCUGAACCAGCCAAGUAGCGUGCAGGAUGACGGCCCUAUGGGUUGUAAACUGCUUUUAUGCGGGGAUAAAGUGAGGGACGUGUCCUUCAUUGCAGGUACCGCAUGAAUAAGGACCGGCUAAUUCCGUG